Molecule: ribosomal RNA, 252 nt
Filed under: uncultured bacterium
Lineage: Bacteria
Description: partial 16S ribosomal RNA
Rfam family: Bacterial small subunit ribosomal RNA
Source: RNAcentral
UACGUAGGUCCCGAGCGUUGUCCGGAUUUAUUGGGCGUAAAGCGAGCGCAGGUGGUUUAUUAAGUCUGGUGUAAAAGGCAGUGGCUCAACCAUUGUAUGCAUUGGAAACUGGUAGACUUAAGUGCAGGAGAGGAGAGUGGAAUUCCAUGUGUAGCGGUGAAAUGCGUAAAUAUAUGGAGGAACACCGGUGGCGAAAGCGGCUCUCUGGCCUGUAACUGACACUGAGGCUCGAAAGCGUGGGGAGCAAACAGG